AUUGAACGCUGGCGGCAUGCCUUACACAUGCAAGUCGAACGGUAACAGGUCUUCGGAUGCUGACGAGUGGCGAACGGGUGAGUAAUACAUCGGAACGUGCCCGAUCGUGGGGGAUAACGGAGCGAAAGCUUUGCUAAUACCGCAUACGAUCUACGGAUGAAAGCAGGGGACCGCAAGGCCUUGCGCGGACGGAGCGGCCGAUGGCAGAUUAGGUAGUUGGUGGGAUAGAAGCUUACCAAGCCGACGAUCUGUAGCUGGUCUGAGAGGACGACCAGCCACACUGGGACUGAGACACGGCCCAGACUCCUACGGGAGGCAGCAGUGGGGAAUUUUGGACAAUGGGCGAAAGCCUGAUCCAGCCAUGCCGCGUGCAGGAUGAAGGCCUUCGGGUUGUAAACUGCUUUUGUACGGAACGAAAAGACUCUUUCUAAUAAAGAGGGUCCAUGACGGUACCGUAAGAAUAAGCACCGGCUAACUACGUG
RNAcentral lists this ribosomal RNA (482 nucleotides) under uncultured bacterium. Its description in RNAcentral is "partial 16S ribosomal RNA". It matches the Rfam family "Bacterial small subunit ribosomal RNA", at positions 30 to 507 of the family's 1533-position model. The record is from RNAcentral.